AAGAGUGAGGGUCUCCCAGGCCCGACCUCCCAACCCUUUGUUUACCAAACUAAUGUUGCUUCGGCGGGCCCGCUUCUGGGCCGCCGGGGGGCCCCAAGGUUCCCUGGCCAGCGCCCGCCGACGGCCAAACCCUAAACUCUUGCUUAAAACUGUGUCUUUAUACGUCUAAGUCCCAUGAUGCAAAUCAAUUAAACAA
This 196-nucleotide unclassified non-coding RNA is filed under the name uncultured Ascomycota. RNAcentral describes it as "sequence contains ITS1". Lineage: Eukaryota; Fungi; Ascomycota. The record is from RNAcentral.